Molecule: ribosomal RNA, 467 nt
Filed under: Furcifer rhinoceratus
Lineage: Eukaryota; Metazoa; Chordata; Lepidosauria; Squamata; Chamaeleonidae
Description: partial 16S ribosomal RNA
Rfam family: Bacterial large subunit ribosomal RNA
Source: RNAcentral
GUACCGCCUGCCCUGUGGUAACCCUAAACGGCCGCGGCAUUUAAACCGUGCAAAGGUAGCACAAUCACUUGUCCUUUAAAUAAGGACGCGUAUGAAAGGCAACAUGAGAGAAGACCUGUCUCCUAAGGACUGCCAAUGAAAUUGAACUACCAGUUCAAAAGCUGGUAUUAACAAGCAAGACAAAAAGACCCUGUGGAACUUUAAUUAGCUGCUUUACAUAAAUUAAACCAGUAAUUUAAGUUGGGAAAACUCUAGAAAAAAUAAACUUCUUGAAACACCAAGACUAACUAGUCAAACCUACACGACCCAGUAAUACUGAUUAACGAAAUAAGCUACCCCAGGGAUAACAGCGCCACCUUCUCAAAGAGUCCAUAUCAACAAGAAGAUCUACGACCUCGAUGUUGGAUCAGGGUACCCAGACGGUGCAGCAGCUGUCAAUGGUUCGUUUGUUCAACGAUUAAUACCCU